CGAUGACUGUGUUGACUUCUUCCGGCGCAAAUUUGACACUGAGUAGGCAAAUGGCUGAAAGUGCAUACAAAACCGCUGCAUUGUUCGUAUGCAUUUGCCAAAUGCUACCCGGUCAGCCAACCAGUCAGACAGACAACGAACGAGUCCCCCAGAUAGUAGUCAGGCAGUGGAUGGUGUGGCGACGGCGCAACGGGGGCGUACCAACUACAGCUACUACAUACCUACGUACAUAUGUACAUAUGUAAGUACAAACAUGCAUAGCUUGCUUGUUCGCUAAAAUGCCGCAUAUUACGUAUAAAUUUCGAAUCAAUACAAGCGAGCAAUAGCAGCAACAACAUCAGAAGCAACAGCAGUAAAAAUACCAAGAUGCAAUAACAACAUGCAAUGAAAACAAAUACAAAAACAGCAACAGCAACAGCAAUAACAAAAAAAAAAACAGCCAACUUGGUCGACAACAACGGCAAAGAGGGGAAAAAGCAAAGCAAUUCAGCUAAGGAAUGCGGGGCCACAUAAAUGUCAGAUAAAAUGUUGAUUGUUUUGUUUACAAAGAUACUUUACGCUUCUGUUUACUGCUGACUGCCCGACAGUGCUAUGGCAUACGGCAUAUAUGUAUAUGCACUUACAUACAUACACUUGUGAAUAGACAUUCAACAAUAAACACAUAUCUACCCAGUACGAAAUUAAA
Long non-coding RNA from Rhagoletis pomonella (apple maggot), 685 nucleotides. RefSeq lists it as uncharacterized. NCBI's taxonomy places the organism in Eukaryota, Metazoa, Arthropoda, Insecta, Diptera, Tephritidae. The record is from RefSeq and is a predicted model, not a curated record. The transcript has 2 exons.